RNAcentral lists this ribosomal RNA (235 nucleotides) under uncultured bacterium. Its description in RNAcentral is "partial 16S ribosomal RNA". It matches the Rfam family "Bacterial small subunit ribosomal RNA", at positions 99 to 334 of the family's 1533-position model. The record is from RNAcentral.
CGGACGGGUGAGUAACGCGUGGAUAACCUGCCUCACACUGGGGGAUAACAGUUAGAAAUGGCUGCUAAUACCGCAUAAGCGCACAGUAUCGCAUGAUACAGUGUGAAAAACUCCGGUGGUACAAGAUGGACCCGCGUCUGAUUAGCUAGUUGGUAAGGUAACGGCUUACCAAGGCGACGAUCAGUAGCCGACCUGGGAGGGUGACCGGCCACAUUGGGACUGAGACACGGCCCAA